AUGUAUGCCUUCCAGCUGAGCAUUGUUUUUGUAGUUGUAUAAGAAACCCUUCUCACCCUGAUAGGAAACUCCUGUAGCUUCUUAUCGUAUAGUAAAGGUACCUAUAGACAUUGUUUCUGAGGUCUUAGUGGAAUUCCAUUUUGUUCCUGGGCCUCUCUGUUCUUUUGGACUUACAAUGCGGACUCCCUCAGUGAGUCUCCUCCUAGGAAUGAAAUAGUGGGCUCAGGAGCAAAAUUGUCCAUUAAAAGAAAAGAAAAAUAACUUUUAAGCAACAUGUAGCAUCAAACUUGAGAACUGGAAAUGACCUUUAUAUCAAAUGAUCCAGUCUCCUUCCUCAAGAAGACAUGGAAAUCAACUAGGAUAAUAUCCCAGGGCAUCAGGUAAGACAAUAAAACACUAAUCCACUUAUAUUUGUUACGUUAUCCUUUGAUUCUUAACAUUUUCCCAAUGAAGAUGAAAUGGCUUAUAUAAAGGACAAAUUAAAAUACAGGGGGCACCUAGCUGGCUCGGUUUGGUUGGGCAUGUGAUGCUUGAUCUUUGGGUUGUGAGUUUGAGCCCGUGUUGGGCAUACAGAUUACUAAAGAAAAAAUACAGACAAAGGGAAAAACAGGGUUAUGAGGAAGAGGAGCUUACCCUUGGGACUCAGAGUUUGAGUAGGUCUCUGUUUCUUACAGGUUUGAUAGCAUCAGACAAGUCAUGUAACCUUUCAAUUUCCUUAUCUAUAAAAUAAGAAAUUUGGAGGAUUAAAUGAGGUAAUACAUUUAAGACACUUAGCUUGGUGGCAAGACAUAGUAAAUAAUAAAUAUUAGCUAAAAGUAUACAUAACAGCAUGUAGGUAUGGGUUAAUAUAGUUGCUAUGGUUAAUAGUAUCAGGUUCAGUUCUGAGAUUUUUCAAAUCACUUUAUUUUGGUUUUUUUUUAUCAUGAUAAAUGUACUCCCUAUGUACUUCCCAUCCCCUAUUUCACCCAUCCCCUAACCCACCUCUCCUCUGUUAACCAUCAGUUUGUUGUGUGUUUCUUGGUUUCUCUCAUUUCUUUUCCUUUGCUUGUUUCUUAAAUUCCACAUGAGUGAGAUCACAUGGUAUUUUCUCUGACUUAUUUUGCUUAGCAUUAUACUCUCUAGCUCUAUCCAUGUUGCAAAUGGCAAGGUUUCAUUUUUUAUGGCUGGGUAAUAUUCCAUUAUGUAAGUGCCACAUCUUUAUCCAAUUGUCUACAAAAGGCCACUUGGGCUACUUCUGUAUCUUUGCUGUUGUCAAUGCUGCAAUAAAUAUGGGGGUGCGUCUAUCCGUUUGAAUUAGUGUUUUUGUAUUUUUUUUUUUUUUAAUUUUUUUUUUCAACCUUUAUUUAUUUUUGGGACAGAGAGAGACAGAGCAUGAACGGGGGAGGGGCAGAGAGAGAGGGAGACACAGAAUCGGAAACAGGCUCCAGGCUCCGAGCCAUCAGCCCAGAGCCCGACGCGGGGCUCGAACUCACGGACCGCGAGAUCGUGACCUGGCUGAAGUCGGACGCUUAACCGACUGCGCCACCCAGGCGCCCCUUUUGUAUUUUUCUGGGUAAAUACCUAGUAAUGCAAUUACCGGAUCAUAGGGUAGUUCUAUUUUAAAUUUUUUCAGGAACCCAGUUCUGAGAUUUUCGACACUCAAGGUAGAGAGAAAAACGUUACAUGGAAAACAAAUUCCUCCCACGUGGUUCUGGAGGUACUGAUACUGGAGUUAUGUCCUUGCCUUUAUGUCCUUAUGUCCUUGACUCCCAAUACUAAAUUUGAGCUUGGACAAGUUAUUUAAUCUAUCACAUAUAGAUGUGUGACUUCCUGUUUCGUUUGCUUUUGAUUUUACGAAAGUGUUUGCUGAUGUCUUGGGAAUUGCCUUUUUCACUUAACAUUAUCUUACUGACUUGUUUAUAGUUACUUCAUUCAGAUUCAUUGCUGUGUAAUGUUGAUGGGUAUUUAGGUUGUUCUUGGAGGUUUUGCUAUUGUAAAUGGCAGUGCUUUAAAAAUUCCUGUACCAGUCUCCUGGUAUUCAAGUGCAGUCCCUCCCCUCCAGUAACCUGCCCUGUAAAUUCCAGCUGUCCCAGCAGCCCAACUCUAUUAUUUGCCUCUUCAGGUCAGCAAUACCACCACUGUUUGCGCUCCACUUUCCUGUACCUUGAUCACAAAAGUUCUCCAAGGCAGACAGACAUGGUAAACCUAGUAUUCACCUUGCAUGUUUCCUUUCCCUUGAGUAUCAUACUCUGCCUAUUAACCAAUUCCUCAAAACAUGUCAUGGCCAGAAAUGGAAGUCUUUUCAGCUGUAUUUUCUACUCAAAAUUUUAGUUUUUUGUUUUUUUUUCUAUGUUUAAGCAUUAAUACAGUUGGGAGUUUAUUUGGCCAUGUGAAAAGUCCAAGAGAAAUUUCAUUCAUUAAAAAAAUUUUUUUUAAUGUUUAUUUAUAAGAAAGAGUGCAAGUGGGGGAGGGGCAGAGAGAGGGUGACGCAGAAUCCAAAGCAGGGUCCAGGCUCUGAGCUGUCAGCAAGAGCCCAAUGCAUGGCUUGAACCUACGAACCGUGAGAUCAUGACCUAAUCUGAAGUUGGACACUCAACCAACUGAGCCAUCUAGGUGCCCUGAGAAAUUUCAUUUAAAGAUAAUGAAAGACUACAUUAUCCUAAACAUGCUUCAAGACACACUUAGUUCUAUCUGAGGGUUAAAUUAGACCACUGAAAAUUACAUUUUACGCAUGGAGGUGAGGUCAAGAUCAUUUUUUCCGGUAUUGAGAAACCAUUUUACCCCCAAUUUAAGAAGCAGCUUAACUUGUGAGCUUCAUUUCUUCAUUUGUAAAGUGUGUGUAAAUGUUAGCUCCUAUAUGAAACACAGGUACACACAAAUAGCCUUUAUGUAGGGUUUUCAGUGUAGCUGUCUUCUGAUUAAAAACAAAUUUUAAGACUUUGAAGCCAGAUAAUAGCUACUGUUUAUAUUACCUUGACUGUAUGCCAGCAACUGUCCAAACCACUUUAUGUAUGUUCAUACAAUCCUAAUAAAAUUCCUUGAAAUAGGCACUGUUAUUUUCCCCCAUUUGCAAAUGGGGAAAUUGAGGCAUAGAUAAUUUUCCAAGGUCAUAUGAGUAAUUUGUAGUUGGACAGAGAUUCAAAACAGACUGGUUAUCAUACUAUAUUCAUUCAGAUGAGCAGGUUGUAAUAUCGUUCUAUUAUGAAAAUAAGGAACCUCCCCAUACCACCUCAGCUCAGAUGUGAGGUCAAAUAUGGGCAUUUCAAAAUCUUAAAAAUGAGAAUUGCAAGGCAAUUACUGGAUUUAGUUUAGACUCAGUCCUUCCUUUAACCUCAAUUCCAGGAAUAGCGGUCCACAAAAAUCAUUCUCUGACUUCUGUCCAUUUUCCUGCAACCAAUUCUGAUGAACGAUAUGCAUUUUCAUAGUGCUGGGUACUUUUUAAAUCUGCUUUCACAUGGAUUUUCACGUACCCAAAUGACUGGCCUACUAGGUAUCUGGCUCAGGUCAAAUAUUUCCAUUGAAUUAUAAGUGGAUUUUUUUUUCGAUUACAUUCUGUCCAGAAAUGAAAUAUAUUCCAAGAUCCCCAUGAGACUGUUUCUGAAAAAAAUAAAUGAACUCCCAUUAACUCCAGUCUGGUCCAAUGUGACUUUUUAAAAUUUGUAUGGUAUAGCAGCUGAGAAUUAGAGGACGUGACAAUAGCCAAGUCAAUUGAGAGAAAGUUUCCCAAAUGAACUCUACGACUUACUGGAAUGUGAGCAGCCACAUCCUCUUUUGAGAUGUCGCCUGUUGUGCCAAAAGGUCCUAUGGCCUAUUUUUUGGUAGGCUUCACUUCUGUCUAUACUCACUUAUCGGUCACGUUGCAAAGAGUUUUGACUUAAAGAAAUGUUUACUUUCAAUAGGCAAUCAGAUAACAGAAAACACUGCCAAGAAAGAUAGAUGUUGCUGGGGUUUUUUAUAAUUGGAUAAGUGAUUUUUGUUUUAAUUUUUAAAAUAUUUUUUAUUUAUUUUUGAGAGCGAGAGCAACAGCACAAGUGGGAGAGGGGCAGAGAGAAAGGGGGACACAGAAUCCAAAGCAGGCUCCAGGCUCUGAGCUGUCAGCACAGAGCCCGAUGUGGGGCUUGAACCCACAAAUCGCGAGAUCAUGACCUGAGCCAAAGUUGGACGCUUAACUGACUGAACCACCCAGGCACCCUGGGUAAAUGACUUUAAAAAAAAAAACAAAAAAACUGCUAUACAUAGGCAACCAGAGGCGAAAAUAAACCUUUGUUUCUUUCCUACAGAUAGGUAAGCUCCGUGUAUUCUAAGCACAUUCUAAGCAGAAUUAUAACCAACAUUCAAGCACAUAGUCAACAUAUAACUAUGGUAUAUAUUUUAGCUAUUAUGUUAGUGUAUCUGGUAAACAAUAAAAUAAUUAUUUCAAACAUGCAGUGUUUGGAUUUAGAAAUGAUUACGAAUACUGAAAAAAAACAUGGAUUAAAAUACAGUAUUUUAUUUUUUUCUCACCUAAAAAACAAGCAACCCAGAAUUAAGAUAUACAUAAACUUCUCAAAUUUAUCCCUAAUAAAAUUUGAAUAUUUAUACAAUUUCUACAGAAACAUACAGUGUAUCAAAAUCUGCAUAAAUCAAAUUUAUAAAAUGUGUAGAAAUGCAUAGUGAUAUUAUCAACUUACAAAGCAAGGAUAUGGGAAUUAUUUCCAAAGCAGCCUACAGUAGAAAAUAGUCCUAUGGCAGCAGCUUCUGAUGUUUUUCAUGUUUGGUACAGUUUCUGAUUUCAAUAUAUAGAAUCAUUUUCAUAGAGUAUUAACGAAUUGCACAAAGUACCCAUUUAAAAUUUACAUGCACAGUUUAUGUGCCACCUUUCUUAGGCCUAUGCAUAGUUAGCAAGGUUAUAAUCUAUUCAACAAGGAAAAUGGAGCCUAUUUGCAGAGAUACAAGUAAUUGAAGUACCAAUUGUCUUAGUUUCCUUUUUAUAGUUGAUUUAUUUUGCAAUUAUAUAAGCAUAUAUAAAUGUAUUCCUUUUUAAACAUCCCUAGAGAUGAAUGAAAGUUAAAAUGGUUGAUCACAGAUCAGUAGCAAAAUACAAAUUGACAAUUCAAAAUUAUAAAUAAAAUUCCGUUCAGGAUGUUUAAAUCUGACUCUCUAAAUUUAAGAGCUAAGCUUGGAAGAAAGAACUCUGUAGGCUUUUCUUCUUUCCUUUUUUAAGCUGUAAUUAAAAAUAGUUCCCUCUGGCAGUAGUUUGUGAAAUUCCUUUCAUUGUAAUGAUAUCAUGAUUACAGGAUCAAAAAUGCUUAAUUUACUUGCCAUUCCCCACUUCAUCCUUUUUCUUUCUUUCUUUCUUUUUUUUUUUUAAACUCAAUGUAGCAUUUUAAUCUUUUGGGUAACAAAAGACUUUAGAAAUUAAAACUGAAUUGACCACUUGCACUGUUUGGUUUUCCUAUAGUAAGUCCUAUCUUAAUAAAUGUUUAAAUCCAAACAAGUCUUCUUUUUCACUGGAGAAAUACUAAUAGGAAUAUGCUUCCUAAAAAAAAUUAAGAAACACUAGAGAACCAAAACCUAACCUAACAGAAGUUCAUAUUUGUUAAUGAACUGUAUUUUUAAAUAGAUUUUAAUUUAAAAAAUGUGUAGGGAAUUUCAUUUGGAUGAAGAUAUACAUGAAACAUCCAUUCACUCUUGGCUUCAUAGGUUGCACAGCUUAGGUUAAUAAUGCACAGGAGUUUUUGUAAGGCUUAAUCUAAAAAGGGCUUGGAAAUUCUUACCUUGGUCAGAAUGAAACUCUGAUGUGUUUACAGUGGUGUUUUGUUAUUUUUGUUACCCCCAUAUUUCAAGAUUUCGAAACUGAGAAUUACUUAUAGUUUUCUAUAGUGACAGGUACUGGGGAAAAGUAAAUCCCAGAUGUCAGUGGACAAUUUUUCUCUAGUUGGUAGACCCUCUUGACUGAUCUUGGGAAUCAGUAUCAACAGAGAGCAUUGGGAAUGCCAGCAUGUAAGGAAGUUAAUGCCAUACAGUCUUCAACCCUAUGAAAUAGCCUUGGGAUGUUCCAUACUGUCUUUUCUUUCUCAAGCCGCACAACAUUCAAUUUCAGAGCAAAUGGUAGCAUGUAAAUUCAUUUCUGAGUAAUAAAAGUAUUCCUCAUACAGAUGACAAUUCCAUCAAUACCAUCCUAAAAAUUUCAUCAAAAGCUCUUGAAAUAUAUACUGAGAAAUGAAAGAGGCACUAAAUGUGUUGAAAUUCACCUUUCAAAAAAGCAGCAUGACUGUGAAGGAA
This 6243-nucleotide long non-coding RNA is filed under the name Lynx pardinus (Iberian lynx). Lineage: Eukaryota; Metazoa; Chordata; Mammalia; Carnivora; Felidae. The record is from RNAcentral.